This 1780-nucleotide long non-coding RNA is filed under the name Volvox carteri. RNAcentral describes it as "long non-coding RNA (VCAR_LNC001357)". Lineage: Eukaryota; Viridiplantae; Chlorophyta; Chlorophyceae; Chlamydomonadales; Volvocaceae. The record is from RNAcentral.
GUCAGGAGUCUGUAGGUAGGUAGGUAUGCAAUGUGGCGCGGGGUCCGGGAUGGAGCACGUUGAGCUGGGGUGGAGUAGGGUAGCGUGUGUAUGUGUACGUGUAUGUGUGGAGUGGGAUGGCGAACACCGGCAAGGCAAAAAGGGGUAAUGGUAGGUGGGCAGGUGGAGGGUAUGGCAACAAAAAGCGGUGGUAUUGGAGGUAGCGGUAGUAAGAUCCAUGCGGGCGGGGGGGGGAGGAGGUGGUGCAGGAUUUCCGAUAUAUCUAUAUCUCUAUCUAUCUAUCUAUCUAUCUAUCUAUCUAUCUAUAUCUCUAUCUAUCUAUCUAUCUAUAUUGGACCGCCUCCUCCUCCUCUCAACCACCCACCCAACCUGCUGCUUCAUGAUCAUCCGGAAGAGUGUCGACUUGCCGGCUCCGUUUCCGCCAAUGAUUCCCACCACCGCACCUACGGACAAGUGUUGUGUUAUAUUAUACAGGAUACUCAUAUAAACACACAUGCAGCACUUCUUUUAGCUAUGUGGGUAGCAUUUCAUGUGUGCAUGAUGAAGCGGCGCGUGUGCAUCCUUGGCACAGGCGUGUCGGGUUGUCGGGACAUCUCCUAGGGGGCACCGCCCCCGGGGGUCUUGAAUGCAUCCAUCUGCACAACGUAAGGAAUUUUGCAUUCUCGCGUGUAGAGGCAGCAGCAACAGGCGCAGCAGCAGCAGCAGCAGGCGCAACAGGAAAAGGCGCAACAGCAACAGGCGCAACAGGAACAGCAACAGCAGUCACACGACAGGGGGACUGCGAGCACCGGCCCCCCCACCGCGUGUGUUCAUUCUCACCCGGCGGGAUGUUGAAGACGGCGUCGUCGAUCAACAACCGGUCAUCAAAGGACUUCCGAAGACCCUCCACCUUCACGUAAUCGAGCAAGCAGGACACAAGCACGCGAACAAGGCGUCGUACAAGUCGUUAACGGUUGCAGACACCUAUCGUUAAUGCCUUGCUGCAUCUCCUUACAUCGUUAAGAGCUCUCUUAGCACACAACAUAGUGGCAUUACCUCAUCGUGACUUCUAAACACGUAUCAUACAUAUACACAAAAGCUUGCGACACGGGCAGCCCUGCCGUACAAUACACGUGCUCAGUACAUGCAUGUAUGCCCGUACACGUACCUAUUUACGCACACACACACACACNNNNNNNNNNNNNNNNNNNNNNNNNNNNNNNNNNNNNNNNNNNNNNNNNNUGUUUGUGAUGCAUGCUUAUCCGUACAUCCGUACAUCCGUACUGACGUACCUCAAGUACCAAGUCGCCAAGUCGCGGGCCCUGUGGAAUGGUAAUGCUGUCGAGCUGCACGUGCAUAUAGUACGGCACAUUGAGCGAAGAGACAUGAAAAGAAAUGGAGGAUAAUGGAUUAGCAAGCAGGAAAUGGGGGCAGAGAGAGGGGACGAGAACAUCGAGCGCCACGAGAAAAGGGACACGAAGUAUUGGGGGGACUCAACAACAGGAGAGGUAUGGAGGAAGGUGCUACAAGUGGUGGGGGGUGGGUAUCGCUUGAAGAGGGGAACAAACGCAUCUUGGGGGCCCACCGCAGGAUGACUUCAGGUGUGGGCUCCGUCCUCCUUCGGAGAGUAACGCAAAUAUCAUAUUGUGUGUCUGUCUGUGUGUGUUUGUGUGUCUGUGUGUGUGUCUGUGUGUGUGUGUGUGUUUGUGUGUGUCUGUGUGUGUGUGUUUGUGUGUGUCUGUGUUUGUUUGUUUGUGUGUGUCUGUGUUUGUUUGUGUGUGUUUGUGUUUGUUUGUUUGUG